Molecule: ribosomal RNA, 95 nt
Filed under: uncultured bacterium
Lineage: Bacteria
Description: partial 16S ribosomal RNA
Source: RNAcentral
CACCGCCGUCACACAUGGGAGUCAGUUGUGCCGGAAGCCGGCGAUCCAACCCGCAAGGGGGGUAGCCGUCCAUGGUAUGGCUGAUGACUGGGGUG